Hyla sarda is the source of this 457-nucleotide long non-coding RNA. RefSeq lists it as uncharacterized. The transcript has 4 exons. The record is from RefSeq and is a predicted model, not a curated record. Lineage: Eukaryota; Metazoa; Chordata; Amphibia; Anura; Hylidae.
UGGAAGUGCUUUCAGCCUCUCACGCAGGCGCAGUAACUAAUUACCCACGCUUGCAGCACCAUUACAUGGAUCAGGUGAAUGCCUCCCCUUCAUUGUUCAUGUGCAGCCGUAUAUGUGUAACUAAUAGGAUGACCACAAGCAUCUCUAUAAGGGGGCAGAGAUAGCAGCAUGACCUAAGUCCUGGUGCCUCUAGAAGACCCAAGAGGCAAGAGGCUUCUGUACGUGGCUGACCUGGAGUCCGUAAUCUGGCCUCUGGCUGCCAUUGGAACCCUAAAAUCACAUAUAGAUGUUUAUUUUCCUACUGUGACAGUUGACUGGAUAUGUGGAGAAAUAAGUGACACAAGAUCAGCAGCUUUGAAAAAGAAUUUGAUCUUCAAUACUCUACUGGGAGAUGUUUAUGCUAUGUGUAUGUGAGCCCAUAUGCUGUAUGUGCACCGAGUGGUUGCAAUGUGAUUUA